AGGUGCCACUCGAACACUACGGCUCUGAGCGCGCCGUCCACGCCCACCUGACGACUGCUCGCUACGUUUUGGUAGCC
RNAcentral lists this small RNA (77 nucleotides) under Xanthomonas vasicola. Its description in RNAcentral is "sX9 sRNA". It matches the Rfam family "Xanthomonas sRNA sX9". The record is from RNAcentral. Lineage: Bacteria; Pseudomonadati; Pseudomonadota; Gammaproteobacteria; Lysobacterales; Lysobacteraceae. RNAcentral also lists the same sequence under 9 other names.